Molecule: ribosomal RNA, 464 nt
Filed under: Eclogavena dayritiana
Lineage: Eukaryota; Metazoa; Mollusca; Gastropoda; Littorinimorpha; Cypraeidae
Description: partial 16S large subunit ribosomal RNA
Rfam family: Bacterial large subunit ribosomal RNA
Source: RNAcentral
GAGUCGGACCUGCCCAGUGAGCAUAUUUAACGGCCGCGGUACUCUGACCGUGCAAAGGUAGCAUAAUCAUUUGCCCUAUAAUUGAGGGCUAGUAUGAAUGGUUUGACGUGAAUAAAGCUGUCUCUAUAUAAUUUUUUAGAACUUGAUUUCUAGGUGAGGAAACCUAGAUAUUAUUGAAAGACAAGAAGACCCUAUUGAGCUUUAAAAGAAUAAAUUGGGAACAAUAUAUAAUCUUAAAUGUUAAUCUAUUUUAGGAUUUUGGUUGGGGCGACUAUGGAACAAAUAAAGCUUCUUUAUAAUUAAUAAAACUGACAAGUGUUGAUCCAGAAAUUUUGAUCAAUGGAAAUAGUUACCAUAGGGAUAACAGCAUAAUUCUCUUUGAGAGCCCUCAUCGAAAAGAGAGUUUGUGACCUCGAUGUUGGACUAGAAUAUCCUAAAGAUGCAGCAGUCUUUAAGGGUUGGUC